AACUCGAGUGACAAACACUUGGAAACAAACAAUAAUACAGAACUGAAUCCAAACAAAAAAAUAAGUUAUAUCAAAAUGCAUACCAACAGUAUUCAAUUGAUGAUGGGGAUCAAGCUUGCAAGGAUGUUGUUACCUGGAAGAACAAUCACAAAGAUCCAACAUGAUUAAAUGAAGUAAGAUGCCAACAGGGAAAAUGAGCAGCAUUCAUGCACUACAUUACCGUUCAGAGUCAACGCGCCCAGGUUUGUGUUGAUUCUUGUCAAUUCAGGCUGAACCAUAUACUUCCAUUAACCACAAAAUUAAGGAACUGGACCAUUUUGUGUUGUCCGUCCAUAUUCCAUUAUGACAACUCUGAUCUG
RNAcentral lists this long non-coding RNA (359 nucleotides) under Triticum aestivum (bread wheat). RNAcentral's name for it is "long non-coding RNA (TAES_LNC009455)". The record is from RNAcentral. Lineage: Eukaryota; Viridiplantae; Streptophyta; Magnoliopsida; Poales; Poaceae.